UACCUACGGGGGGCAGCAGUGGGGGAUAUUGCACAAUGGGGGGAACCCUGAUGCAGCGACGCCGCGUGGGUGAAGGAGUGCUUCGGCAUGUAAAGCCCUAUCGGCAGGGAAGAAGCAAGACGGUACCUGACUAAGAAGCCCGGCUAACUACGUGCCAGCAGCCGCGGGAAUACGUAGGGGGCGAGCGUUAUCCGGAUUCACUGGGUGUAAAGGGAGCGUAGACGGCCCUGCAAGCCAGGGGGGAAAGCCCGGGGCCCAACCCCGGGACUGCCCUUGGAACUGCCUGGGUGGGGUGCGGGCGGGGG
RNAcentral lists this ribosomal RNA (305 nucleotides) under uncultured bacterium. Its description in RNAcentral is "partial 16S ribosomal RNA". It matches the Rfam family "Bacterial small subunit ribosomal RNA", at positions 335 to 658 of the family's 1533-position model. The record is from RNAcentral.